This 551-nucleotide ribosomal RNA is filed under the name uncultured bacterium. RNAcentral describes it as "bacterial SSU rRNA". It matches the Rfam family "Bacterial small subunit ribosomal RNA", at positions 355 to 896 of the family's 1533-position model. The record is from RNAcentral.
UAGGGAAUCUUCGGCAAUGGGGGGAACCUCUGACCGAGCAACGCCGCGUGAGUGAAGAAGGUUUUCGGAUCGUAAAGCUCUGUUGUUAAGGAAGAACGAGUGUGAGAAUGGAAAGUUCAUACUGUGACGGUACUUAACCAGAAAGGGACGGCUAACUACGUGCCAGCAGCCGCGGUAAUACGUAGGUCCCGAGCGUUGUCCGGAUUUAUUGGGCGUAAAGCGAGCGCAGGCGGUUAGAUAAGUCUGAAGUUAAAGGCAGUGGCUCAACCAUUGUAGGCUUUGGAAACUGUUUAACUUGAGUGCAGAAGGGGAGAGUGGAAUUCCAUGUGUAGCGGUGAAAUGCGUAGAUAUAUGGAGGAACACCGGUGGCGAAAGCGGCUCUCUGGUCUGUAACUGACGCUGAGGCUCGAAAGCGUGGGGAGCGAACAGGAUUAGAUACCCUGGUAGUCCACGCCGUAAACGAUGAGUGCUAGGUGUUAGGUCCUUUCCGGGACUUAGUGCCGCAGCUAACGCAUUAAGCACUCCGCCUGGGGAGUACGACCGCAAGGUUG